Molecule: long non-coding RNA, 1914 nt
Filed under: Malus domestica (apple)
Lineage: Eukaryota; Viridiplantae; Streptophyta; Magnoliopsida; Rosales; Rosaceae
Description: long non-coding RNA (MDOM_LNC008986)
Source: RNAcentral
UUUAUUUUCCUGCACAUUAAGUUAUUUUAAUUAAUUUAGUAGAAAUUUUCAUUUUUAUGUUCUCUGCCAAUAAGUUUAUUUUCCUGCUCAUUGUUUGCUUUCUCUUGGGUGCCUGUGAUUCACAUAGGGUAAGCUCCGGAAAAUUAGCUCAAUCGGAUCUGCAAAUGGGAGGAAUACCUAACAGCAGCAGGUGAAGUUUUCUUUUUAUGUGCAGUUUUUAGUAUGCAUUCUUUAUUUUUAUCUCUUUUGCCCAUAUUCUGUACAUCAAUUUUGUUCAUUUAGUCUGCAUUUUCUGUAUUUUUAUCUUUUUCCUUCUUCAUUUACAUGGUUGCACUGCUCGAAAAAUUUUUCUCAUUUUGUUGCUUGGAUCUUUGAUCAUCAUCUUUUUUUUUUUUAUGCAUAUUUUGUAAUGGGUAGUUGGUGGAGGGACGUUGGUCUCUCUUUUGUUUAUCUGAGUAUUACAUUCGAUUGUAUUGCACUUGGUUUCUUGGUACCAGACUUUUGAUGAAACUGACAGUUUAUGAAAUGAUUGUAGAAUGUUAAUUAUGCUAUUUUCUUAAUUUCUACAGUUAUAGACUUUGGUAAUGUCAUUGCAUUUAGGUGCUGAAAUGUCCCAAAAAAUAAAAUAAAAUAAAAUAAAAUAAAACACCCCGGUGACGAAUAUGUGAGGCUACUGAAGACAAGAACUGUAGUUUUGAAGCAGUAGUAUAAAACAAAUGGUUAGAUUUUAUUUGAUUUUAAGGUGUGCUAGCCAUUUUAAUCAAUUUAAAGCGUUAUUUCUUUGAUUUAGGGCCUAUCACGAAACUUUUAGAGUAUUAGUGUUAGGUUUCAUUUAAUGAUCAUUACUUAAUUGUUUUAAAUUUCAAACUUCAGUUGUAUUGCUGAAAGUUUGAUUACUAAAUUACUUUGCAGAAACAGAGUUCACAAGAGCUAAGAGGAUACUAAGAAGCAAAGACUUACAACAUACGUAUUGACUUAAAAUGGUCUUAUUCUCUUUUGUUUCUCUUCCAUGUUUUGUUGUAUGUUUAACCAUUCUGUUUUCUAUUUGUUUUCGUAACUCUUUUUGCUUUCAAAGUUUACUGCUCGGUUAAAUAUUUGUACUAAAUUCUUCAUGUUGUUAAGAUUGGGUAAAUUUAGGGAUUCAUGAAUGGGUCCGUGGUUGAAGCUCAGGAAAAUUAGCUCAAUCGGAUCUGCAAAUGGGAGGAAUACCUAACAGCAGCAUGUAAAGUUUUCUUUUAAUGUGCAGUUACUUAUGCAUUUUUUAAAAUUUCCACCAUUUCCAGGGAUUGGUGUGUUAUGAAAAGGGAUGUGAUAUGUAAGAACUGAAAUUUACCAACCACCCUUUCUUUAAAUGGUUUCUGAAGAAUGGGUUUGAUAGAAAAGAAUCUAAGUGCUCUGCAAAUAUGCUUGCGCCUCUCAUUGUUUGCUUUCUCUUGGGUGCCUGUGAUUCACAUUGGGUAAGCUCCGGAAAAUUAGCUCAAUCGGAUCUGCAAAUGGGAGGAAUACCUAACAGCAGCAGGUAAAGUUUUCUGUUUAUGUGCAGUUUUUAAGUUACUUAUGCAUUUUUUAUUUUUAUCUAUUUUGCCCAUAUUCUGUACGUAAAUUUUGUUCAUCUAGUCUGCAAUUUCUGUAUUUUUCAUUGGCAUAGGUAUUGCAGCGACUGCUGUUGAACUGCUUCCCUCUGGAACUGCUUCUUGGUCUAGGGAGUUUUUGUGUAAAAGGAGACGUAGUGUUUAGCUAUUUCCCAGUAACCUCCCACAACUACCCCGAUAUUCUAUCAAAUUCUUUUUUCUCAUUCCCUCUCCCAGGUUUCCAUUCCACCAUUUUCAGCGAUUAAAGGUGUGUAUCACUGUUAAAAGUAAAAAUACUUCUCAACCUCAAAUCGUUUUGGUCCUGUCAAGCUUAAAUAGGGAU